RNAcentral lists this ribosomal RNA (253 nucleotides) under uncultured bacterium. Its description in RNAcentral is "partial 16S ribosomal RNA". It matches the Rfam family "Bacterial small subunit ribosomal RNA", at positions 524 to 776 of the family's 1533-position model. The record is from RNAcentral.
UACGUAGGGGGCAAGCGUUAUUCGGAAUUACUGGGCGUAAAGCGUGCGCAGGCGGCUUUGCAAGACAGAUGUGAAAUCCCCGGGCUCAACCUGGGAACUGCAUUUGUGACUGCAAGGCUAGAGUACGGUAGAGGGGGAUGGAAUUCCGCGUGUAGCAGUGAAAUGCGUAGAUAUGCGGAGGAACACCGAUGGCGAAGGCAAUCCCCUGGACCUGUACUGACGCUCAUGCACGAAAGCGUGGGGAGCAAACAGG